CAGCCGUACAACGCCACUAUAACCCAAUGCGCCUAGACCAAGCGACUCUUCCGGCUCUGGAGUCAACCAACUUGAUUCACAGCAACUCAGCACACCAUGGCUGCUAACAGAACAGACGUCCGAUUAUGCAACGCAAAAUGACAGCAUCGAACAAAACCAUUCUUCUCAGCUUCAGCAGCACACAGCUGGAAAAAGACCUGUCGGCAUGGCCUGAAUAAACGUGAAAAAUUUUUAUGUGUACAUCUCCGGACAGCCCUAUGUCGUAUUCACCAGAUGUGAACCCCAACGCAAUACAGAAAAUAUUUUUUGUGAAA
Long non-coding RNA from Rhipicephalus microplus (southern cattle tick), 314 nucleotides. RefSeq lists it as uncharacterized. The record is from RefSeq and is a predicted model, not a curated record. Lineage: Eukaryota; Metazoa; Arthropoda; Arachnida; Ixodida; Ixodidae.